GGGGAAUAUUGGGCAAUGGGCGAAAGCCUGACCCAGCCAUGCCGCGUGAAUGAUGAAGGCCUUAGGGUUGUAAAGUUCUUUCGCUAUCGAGGAUAAUGACUGUAGAUAGACAAGAAGCCCCGGCUAACUUCGUGCCAGCAGCCGCGGUAAUACGAAGGGGGCUAGCGUUGUUCGGAAUCACUGGGCGUAAAGCGCGCGUAGGCGGCUAUUCAAGUCAGAGGUGAAAUCCCAGAGCUCAACUUUGGAACUGCCUUUGAAACUGUAUAGCUGGAGUGUUGGAGGGGAUAGCGGAAUUCCUAGUGUAGAGGUGAAAUUCGUAGAUACUAGGAGGAACACCGGUGGCGAAGGCGGCUAUCUGGACAACAACUGACGCUGAGGCGCGAAAGCGUGGGUAUCAAAC
Molecule: ribosomal RNA, 400 nt
Filed under: uncultured bacterium
Lineage: Bacteria
Description: bacterial SSU rRNA
Rfam family: Bacterial small subunit ribosomal RNA
Source: RNAcentral